UACAGAGGGCCCAAGCGUUGUUCGGAUUCACUGGGCGUAAAGGGUGCGUAGGUGGUGAGGUAAGUCGGAUGUGAAAGCUCGGAGCUCAACUCCGAAAUGGCAUUGGAAACUACCUUGCUCGAGGGUUGGAGGGGGGACUGGAAUGCUUGGUGUAGCAGUGAAAUGCGUAGAUAUCAAGCGGAACACCAGUGGCGAAGGCGAGUCCCUGGACAACUCCUGACACUGAGGCACGAAAGCUAGGGGAGCAAACAGG
RNAcentral lists this ribosomal RNA (253 nucleotides) under uncultured bacterium. RNAcentral's name for it is "partial 16S ribosomal RNA". It matches the Rfam family "Bacterial small subunit ribosomal RNA", at positions 524 to 776 of the family's 1533-position model. The record is from RNAcentral.